GCGAUCAUACCAACACUAAUGAACUGGAUCCUAUCAAAACUCCGCAGUUAAGCGUGUUUGGACGAGAGUAGUACUAGGAUGGGUGACUCACUGGGAAGUCCUCGUGUUGCACCCC
This is a non-coding RNA of Ilex paraguariensis (yerba mate), 115 nucleotides long. The record is from the annotation of a GenBank genome assembly. NCBI's taxonomy places the organism in Eukaryota, Viridiplantae, Streptophyta, Magnoliopsida, Aquifoliales, Aquifoliaceae.